Molecule: long non-coding RNA, 248 nt
Filed under: Nicotiana benthamiana
Lineage: Eukaryota; Viridiplantae; Streptophyta; Magnoliopsida; Solanales; Solanaceae
Description: long non-coding RNA (NBEN_LNC013532)
Source: RNAcentral
AAAGUUAUCUCAACUCUAAGAAAUACUUGUAUAAAAUGAAUUGAAAAAAAAAUACAAAAAGAAAUGGUAAUGGGAGAAUUUUUCCUAUAUAUACAAAUCCAAAUCGGGCGGAUCUUUACCCGGAGUAGAGCAUAAACCUAAAAAGAUGAAACAGACCCAUUCAGGAACAAGAAAAUACCAUCGCGGUUUGGAUUAAAUCUCGAUGAAGAAUACAUCAAUGAAAAGUUAAUUCAAUAAGUUUAAUGACC